This 1352-nucleotide ribosomal RNA is filed under the name uncultured bacterium. Its description in RNAcentral is "bacterial SSU rRNA". It matches the Rfam family "Bacterial small subunit ribosomal RNA", at positions 28 to 1381 of the family's 1533-position model. The record is from RNAcentral.
AUUGAACGCUGGCGGCAUGCUUUACACAUGCAAGUCGAACGGCAGCGCGGGGCAACCUGGCGGCGAGUGGCGAACGGGUGAGUAAUAUAUCGGAACGUACCCAAGAGUGGGGGAUAACGUAGCGAAAGUUACGCUAAUACCGCAUACGAUCCAAGGAUGAAAGCAGGGGAUCUUCGGACCUUGUGCUCCUGGAGCGGCCGAUAUCUGAUUAGCUAGUUGGUGAGGUAAAGGCUCACCAAGGCGACGAUCAGUAGCUGGUCUGAGAGGACGACCAGCCACACUGGAACUGAGACACGGUCCAGACUCCUACGGGAGGCAGCAGUGGGGAAUUUUGGACAAUGGGCGCAAGCCCUGAUCCAGCAAUGCCGCGUGAGUGAAGAAGGCCUUCGGGUUGUAAAGCUCUUUUGUCAGGGAAGAAACGGCUGUGGCUAAUAUCCACGGCUAAUGACGGUACCUGAAGAAUAAGCACCGGCUAACUACGUGCCAGCACCCGCGGUAAUACGUAGGGUGCCAAGCCUUAAUCCGAAUUCCUGGGCCGUAAAGCGUGCGCAGCGGUUUUGUAAGUCUGACGUGAAAGCCCCGGGCUCAACCUGGGAAUUGCGUUAGAGACUGCAAGGCUUGAAUCUGGCAGAGGGGGGUAGAAUUCCACGUGUAGCAGUGAAAUGCGUAGAGAUGUGGAGGAACACCGAUGGCGAAGGCAGCCCCCUGGGUCAAGAUUGACGCUCAUGCACGAAAGCGUGGGGAGCAAACAGGAUUAGAUACCCUGGUAGUCCACGCCCUAAACGAUGUCUACUAGUUGUCGGGUCUUAAUUGACUUGGUAACGCAGCUAACGCGUGAAGUAGACCGCCUGGGGAGUACGGUCGCAAGAUUAAAGCUCAAAGGAAUUGACGGGGACCCGCACAAGCGGUGGAUGAUGUGGAUUAAUUCGAUGCAACGCGAAAAACCUUACCUACCCUUGACAUGUCAGGAAUCCUUGAGAGAUUGAGGAGUGCCCGAAAGGGAACCUGAACACAGGUGCUGCAUGGCUGUCGUCAGCUUGUGUCGUGAGAUGUUGGGUUAAGUCCCGCAACGAGCGCAACCCUUGUCAUUAGUUGCUACGAAAGGGCACUCUAAUGAGACUGCCGGUGACAAACCGGAGGAAGGUGGGGAUGACGUCAAGUCCUCAUGGCCCUUAUGGGUAGGGCUUCACACGUCAUACAAUGGUGCAUACAGAGGGCCGCCAACCCGCGAGGGGGAGCUAAUCCCAGAAAGUGCAUCGUAGUCCGGAUCGCAGUCUGCAACUCGACUGCGUGAAGUUGGAAUCGCUAGUAAUCGCGGAUCAGCAUGCCGCGGUGAAUACGUUCCCGGGUCU